This is a long non-coding RNA of Camelus dromedarius (Arabian camel), 1511 nucleotides long. RefSeq lists it as uncharacterized. Lineage: Eukaryota; Metazoa; Chordata; Mammalia; Artiodactyla; Camelidae. The transcript has 3 exons. The record is from RefSeq and is a predicted model, not a curated record.
CCUAGCGGCAGGGAACAGGCAGAGGCUGCGCGGCGGGAUUCCGGGGCGGCCGAGGGCGAGGAGCCCCCACCUCUCACCUCCUUCACCUCGCCGCUGCCUCCGGGACGCUCGCAGCGGCCCCCUCUCUCACCUUCCGCAUCCCCUCGAACCCCCUCUCUUAAUGCAUUCAAAACACGGCUCGGAGAAACACACCCGUGGGAACCCUGCAGUGGCGCCCGUCGCCGUAGUCCGCAAGGUCAAGUCCACUUCCACCACCACCACAUACACCAGGUUCUGAAGAAUCUGCAGGAAACAGUUUGCAAACCACUGCUCUAAGCCCUACCUGUGAGGAGCAGCAGAGCCCGUUGGGUCUCCUGACCGACCAGCACAAUCUGCUUGAAGUUCAUGGAGUGGUGGAAGGUCAUCUUGAAGACCCGCUGCCCACUGGACUGCAGGUAGACCUCCACACAGUCGCAGGCCCGGCUGCCGGUUGUCCCCGUCACUCCCAGCUGCUCCCGAGUGGCCAACACAUAGAGGGCCGGACCCCAGAUCCCUGCUCUCGAAGGCGAGGACUGAGCCGGUGACAGAUGCGUCUCCAUACGCCCUCGGCAUCGCACACUUUGUGGAAGUAGUGGCAGGUCUGGCCGAGAGCCACUACAUCUCUGACCGGGAGGAAUGAGAUGAUAUGCUCCACCUGCGGGGGCGGGAGGGGGAAAGCAGGGGUCAUGGGGGCCUGGCCCCCAGUCCUUUAUUCUUAACACCAACUCUUGCCAAGGACUCACCAGCUCUGGGGGAAACAGCUGCACAGAAAUAGGGUUUCCUCUCCCCUUCUUCUCUUCACCCCUAGGCUCUGGGCCACACGAAGGGCAGCUGCGCUUCACCUACCCAAGAAGGGGGCGCAUAGGGGUUCCAUAAGGGUCAUGCCUCUUUCUCCCUUCUGUUAACUACUGUCGCAGGGGCUCAUAGCUCUAACUUCUGGCUCUGUGCUGUCACAUCCUCCCAUCUUUCUCUCUAGGUCCAUGGGUUACCCCUCCCUGUCUGCCUUGUUCUUUGUCCAACUCCUUCAAAUGAUCCCUCCCCUGAUCUCUUGCUGCCAUCCCUUGCCUUGCCGUCCCCACCCCUCACCCUGAGACCCUCCUCCCGUCCGCACAGCCCGGUGAAUUUUUGCAGCUUCCGUCUCCGGCUUCUCCUCACCAUCCUGACUGCCCCCUCCCUGCUCCAGCCCUCAUCUCUCCGGGCCCCUUGGCCCCUCGUACUCAGCUCCCUGGCCCCCGUCCCAGCUGCCUUUCCCACACCAUGUUCCCUGCCUGGGCUUGGGGGACCUCUGGGGCCCCUCUGCCUCCUAGGCCCCUCCCCCAUGGAGUCUGGGGUAGACAAACCUCUGUGACCUCACUGCCCAGCCACUGUGACCUAUUUUCCCCAACCUUGCCCCGGAUUUUCUCUCUCAGCUCCUUGGCUCUACCUCAGUUCUAGCCACCCAGUGGCUUGUGGGAUAUGCAUGACAGGAGAAAUAAAGUGUGAACAACUUGGUA